RNAcentral lists this ribosomal RNA (251 nucleotides) under uncultured bacterium. Its description in RNAcentral is "partial 16S ribosomal RNA". It matches the Rfam family "Bacterial small subunit ribosomal RNA", at positions 524 to 776 of the family's 1533-position model. The record is from RNAcentral.
UACGAAGGGGGCUAGCGUUGCUCGGAAUGACUGGGCGUAAAGGGCGCGUAGGCGGAUGGCACAGUCAGAUGUGAAAUUCCUGGGCUUAACCUGGGGCUGCAUUUGAUACGUGUUGUCUAGAGUGAGGAAGAGGGUUGUGGAAUUCCCAGUGUAGAGGUGAAAUUCGUAGAUAUUGGGAAGAACACCGGUGGCGAAGGCGGCAACCUGGUCCUUGACUGACGCUGAGGCGCGAAAGCGUGGGAGCAAACAGG